This 31-nucleotide non-coding RNA is filed under the name Mus musculus (house mouse). Lineage: Eukaryota; Metazoa; Chordata; Mammalia; Rodentia; Muridae. The record is from RNAcentral.
UNGCCUUAGCUUCUAUUUUGUUCCACCUCGU